GAGAGGAAGAUGAGGAAGAUGAGGGGAGAUAAUAAAGAGAGUUAUCUUUGUACUCCUAUUAUUUCAAAUUAUAAUGAAAGCACCACUGCUGCCCCGAGGACGUACUCUAGUCACACUGACUGUAGAGGAACCUCGUAAAUUUUGUGUCUUGUUUCAUUUAUUCCACUGCACCCACAGUCGAUCUUACAACACGUUAUCAGCACGAAAAGCUCUCAUGUCAGUGGAAAGCACAACACCAUAAAUCCGGUGAAGCAUUAUCUACCUCUCACCUCGGUUAGCUAAAAUCUCACAGAGUAGAGACGGCAAGCCAGACAUGUCAAACAGGGAAGAUCAUCUUGUCAAAAUUCCAUCAACCUUUCUUUUAUCACUUUUCUUUUAUCACUCUAACUAUUGAUGUGUUAAUCCUUAUCCCUGCUAGACCUGCAAUCUAUUUUUUCUCUCGUGGACAAGAAAGAUGGAGAGAUCUUACAGACAAACAAAGGUGCAGCAAAACAAGCAAAGAGAUCCAGAAGAAUCUCAUUAGACUUGGAAACUCAGAUCGUGUCGUUCUCAAUGGAUCUCGAGGACCUCCAUGAAUCCUCAGUUGUCUGAGAUGGUGAUGGCAUGACUGACUCCACACAAGCCUCCCUCUCUUAUGCCUUCGUCAACCUCACUGUCAUCUAUGUCUAUAUGGAGAGGUUCUUGCUUUGCGAUGCCAUGUUCUUUGGGCCAUGCAAGAACAACGCCAGUCUCUGGUAGCCUUUUUUGGAUUGAAUUGGUUUUGUGUAACCCCCACAACAACCCAGCUGGUACUGGCUUUUGAGACUGGUAGAGAUAGACAAAGAAAAGGGGAAAUGAGGCCAAUGAUUUAGAAAGGUGCGUUGCACCAUGUAAAAUAAAAGAAAUAAAACCAAAAGUUUUUGGAAUGUUGUAGCAUGUGAAUGAAUAAGAAAAAUAAUAAUAAAGGUAAAGGUUUUUGGAUGGUGUUACACCAUCUGAAAAGAAAGAAGAAAAUAUGUAUAUAUUUAUUUA
This is a non-coding RNA of Malus domestica (apple), 1011 nucleotides long. Lineage: Eukaryota; Viridiplantae; Streptophyta; Magnoliopsida; Rosales; Rosaceae. The record is from RefSeq and is a predicted model, not a curated record.